This 250-nucleotide ribosomal RNA is filed under the name uncultured bacterium. RNAcentral's name for it is "partial 16S ribosomal RNA". It matches the Rfam family "Archaeal small subunit ribosomal RNA", at positions 474 to 723 of the family's 1478-position model. The record is from RNAcentral.
UACCGGCGGCUCGAGUGGUGGCCACUUUUAUUGGGCUUAAAGCGUUCGUAGCUGGGUUAUUAAGUCUCUUGGGAAAUCCGACGGCUCAACCGUCGGGCGUCUAAGGGAUACUGGUAAUCUUGGAACCGGGAGAGGUGAGGGGUACUUCGGGGGUAGGAGUGAAAUCCUGUAAUCCUCGAGGGACCACCUGUGGCGAAGGCGCCUCACCAGAACGGCUUCGACAGUGAGGGACGAAAGCUGGGGGAGCAAA